RNAcentral lists this non-coding RNA (96 nucleotides) under Helianthus annuus (common sunflower). Lineage: Eukaryota; Viridiplantae; Streptophyta; Magnoliopsida; Asterales; Asteraceae. The record is from RNAcentral.
GAAAGCCGUAUGCUUUGGAAGAAGCUUGUACAGUUUGGGAAGGGGUUUUGAUUGAUAAAACAUGAUCUGGAUGUGAAUGAGUCAAAUUACUUCUCC